Molecule: ribosomal RNA, 504 nt
Filed under: uncultured Glomus
Lineage: Eukaryota; Fungi; Glomeromycota; Glomeromycetes; Glomerales; Glomeraceae
Description: SSU rRNA
Rfam family: Eukaryotic small subunit ribosomal RNA
Source: RNAcentral
AGCAGCCGCGGUAAUUCCAGCUCCAAUAGCGUAUAUUAAAGUUGUUGCAGUUAAAAAGCUCGUAGUUGAAUUUCGGGAUCAGUACGCUGGUCAUGCCUUUGGUAUGCACUGGUGUCACUGGUUUCUCCCUUCUGAAGAACCGUGAUGUCAUUAAUUUGGUGUCGCGGGGAAUCAGGACUGUUACUUUGAAAAAAUUAGAGUGUUUAAAGCAGGCUCACGCUUGAAUACAUUAGCAUGGAAUAAUGAAAUAGGACGUUUGACCCUAUUUUGUUGGUUUCUAGGAUCGACGUAAUGAUUAAUAGGGAUAGUUGGGGGCAUUAGUAUUCAAUUGUCAGAGGUGAAAUUCUUGGAUUUAUUGAAGACUAACUACUGCGAAAGCAUUUGCCAAGGAUGUUUUCAUUAAUCAAGAACGAAAGUUAGGGGAUCGAAGACGAUCAGAUACCGUCGUAGUCUUAACCAUAAACUAUGCCGACUAGGGAUCGGAUGAUGUUAAUUUUAUAAUGA